GUACUUACUUAAACAGUACAUAUAAUAAAUUGGAUCUGAUACAGAGAAGAUUAGCAUGGCCCCUGCGAAGGAUGACCAUAGGUCGUGGAGAGCGUUUCCAUAUUUUA
This is a small nuclear RNA of Hippoglossus stenolepis (Pacific halibut), 107 nucleotides long. NCBI's taxonomy places the organism in Eukaryota, Metazoa, Chordata, Actinopteri, Pleuronectiformes, Pleuronectidae. The record is from RefSeq and is a predicted model, not a curated record.